This 1502-nucleotide ribosomal RNA is filed under the name Triticum aestivum (bread wheat). RNAcentral's name for it is "partial small subunit ribosomal RNA". Lineage: Eukaryota; Viridiplantae; Streptophyta; Magnoliopsida; Poales; Poaceae. The record is from RNAcentral.
GCGAAAAUCGAAUGGCUUCCGACUCCCAAUGCACUUGGAUUUUUUAUUUGUUUUUUAAAAGUACACAAAUUGUGUACCAUAGCUUUAUAGAAGAGAGAAUUUCAAGUACAAAAUAACUACAACUCAUUGCGAACAACAAGUAUAGCGCACACUCCACACCUGGCUAGUCCAAAGAUAGCCACCACGACAAAACAACUACAACGCAAAAGAGCCUGACCAAAACAGAAGAACCAUGCCACGUCUCAACCUACGCCGGUCACCUCCGAAGAACCGUAGCUCCUGCCAAGCUUCCCUUGUCGACGCUCCAUCCACCCUUUAUGCCUAAAGGAGGUGGCAAGUGUAUGGUGGGACUCGAUCAGACCGGAGAAAGGCGCAGUCUUGGAAUCACUAGCGACGACCGUACAUUGUGCCGCAGAAGAUCCAUCAUGGACAGCGGCGAACACCGGAGGAGCACAAUGAAGGACCUCCAGACCGUGUCCCCAGACACGAUGCUCCCAACAGAGGGACGACGUCGAGGACGCGCCAUCGUGCCGACCCUGCACAGAAUCAAGGCUUUCGCCCGGAGACAACAACCCAACACCAAGCGAGGAAGAUAGCAACACCUCAGCGACGCCUCCAAGAAGGGGAAUGACAUCCGCGGAAGACAUCGCCGCCGGCCCGGCAACCGGGCAGGAUUUUCAUCUGUAUCGCCGCAUAUCUCCGCACCUCCAAGGCCCGGGGCAGCACCGUCCUUGUAGCCUCACACCGCCGCCAACGCAGCACCUCGCCGUCGAAGCUGCACAACUGUGGUUCAUCGACACCACACACAGCAGAGAGAACGCGGCCCAAUCAUCCACCAUCAACCCGGCCAGCAGCCUCCCGGCACCUCGGGCAUGGACCAGGAUCACCGCGAUAGAAUCACCCGCUCCAGGGGACACCCACGCUACGACCCUAGCCCCAGGCCCAGAUCGAACCUGAGCAGAGGCACAGAUCUGACCCGCCCUCCACGCUCCACUCGGACGCCAGCAUCGCCGGGAGGGCACCAACGCACGCCCCAGCUAGGAGGAGGUCGGCCGCCCACUACUCGCCAGGAGCUCCUUCCUGACCGAGCCUUCAUAGCGCCACCGCCUCCAAGGCCGAGAUCUCGCGCCGCUGCCUCCAAGUUGCGUUGACGCGCCGCCCUGCUCCACUGUCGUGCUGCCAGCCUCACCAAAGCCCACCUCUCCUCCACGAUCCCCGCCGUGCGCCGGCGAAGCCCGACGAGACUCGUGCCGCCGGACACCCACCACCAACGCCUCCCCGGGGACGACCCGCCUCCGCGCGAAAGUGCACGUCAGGGAGCGCCUCCAUCACUCGUCGGGCGUGGCCGCCACCGCCGGCGCCGGCAGCGGCAGCGGCCGGGGGAGGGAGAUCGGGCCGCCUGAAGGAUAGGGUUUGGGGUCCUCCGAAGCCGCUCGCACGAGCGGCCCGGGAGGAGAGGGAAAAUGUCGAUUUUUUAUUUGUCACUUGCGUAUGUGGACCCC